This 1273-nucleotide long non-coding RNA is filed under the name Phaseolus vulgaris (common bean). Its description in RNAcentral is "long non-coding RNA (PVUL_LNC004669)". The record is from RNAcentral. Lineage: Eukaryota; Viridiplantae; Streptophyta; Magnoliopsida; Fabales; Fabaceae.
AAGGAGUUCAAAAUAGUUAAGCAGAAAAGAAAGCCAUUGAGAACGUAAGAUUGAAAAAUAUGAAGGCAAACAAUUAUCUCUUCCAAGGUAAUGAUAGAUGAAUUCUAGAGAUCAUUUUGAACAAAGAUGUGCCUAAAAGCAUCUAAGACUCCUUGAAGGGGGAUCACGUGAAGGGAAGAAAAUCCUAAAUAGUAGAGAUGUGAUAUCAUUAAGUGGGAGGCUGAGUCUGUCUCUAGGGUUAUAAACAUUUUGGGGGGAGCUUUUUCAAGUUUGUCCAAAAAAAUUGUAGUCUCUCAUUUGAGAUGUUUUUUGUUGUAGGCAGUUAGUGUCAAACCACGAUAAAUUAUGUGUCUAUCAGUAAUGGAUUUUUUGCAUGAUCCUAUCAUCAAUAUUUGUUGUCUGCGAGGUUUUUCUUCUACAUGUAGCAAGCCUAAUGCCCAGCAUUUAAGGAGGGGAUAGAGAUGCUGAAAGGGAAGUUUUUCAAUAAUCUUUUUUAACACACUUGCCAUUGUUGACAAGCUACAACUCAAUAAGGCAAAGAUAGACGAUGUUGUAGCCAUUGAGAAAAUACUAAGAUCUAUGAUGCCUAGGUUAAAUUAUGUGAUAUGUUUUAUUAAGGAAUCAAGGGGAUGAAUUACAAAGCAGUGUUCUAGUAUUUUUUUUGUCAAUAAUAAAAAAUAAAUAAAAUUAAAUACUUGGAGUGUUUCCGUGUACAAGAAAUAUCUCAGUCUUCUAGUAUUGAGACGUUUGUUACUUUUUUCUUAGCAUAUGUCGUUAGUCGGUCGGUAAUCCAUUGAAGUUGGAUUUGUUGCUGCAGUUUCUUGCACCUGUCAACUCAUGUGCAUCAAGGUGGUGGCACAACAAUUUUCAGUGACACUAAUUCUGAGUCCUCAAAGAAUCCUUUUUUUCAUUGCCAGAUUUCACUUUCUUCGUCAUCUCACAGGGGAUGUAGUUGUCUAGUUAGUCCACCAUCAUAAUCACGAACAAUUUGCUGAUAUAAUGACAUGACCAAUUAUAGCAUGAUUUCCUUGUAAAUCUUUGAGGUCUAUUAGGACUGUGUGUUGGCCCAAAUGAAAACUUAAUAAAUCUUUAUUUGUUGAGGGAGAAUAUUAAAUUGUUAAUAUUUGAAUUAGUUUUUACGUUGAACCUUAAGAUAUGAUUUAUUGCAUCCCUAUCUUCUAGGAAUAAGAUAUUGGCUUCCUUGUUAUUCUCCGUUGUCGAAGACUGUUAUAUUAGUUUUUCUAUAGCUUAAAUUUUUUUCUCCAACUAUUUU